This 22-nucleotide microRNA is filed under the name Sus scrofa (pig). RNAcentral's name for it is "ssc-mir160". The record is from RNAcentral. Lineage: Eukaryota; Metazoa; Chordata; Mammalia; Artiodactyla; Suidae.
UCACGUCCAUGGUCAGCACCGU